CCCCACCAAACUGCCCACGCUCCGGCAGUGCGUGGGUGGCUUGAGAAAUUUCUGGUGGCCGGAAAAACUCCAAACCGCCGGUCCAAACUCCUAACUUAGGUAAAACACCCAUUUUGGAACCACUUUUGUUCUUAGACCUACCUCAAAAAGUGGCCGGAAGUGGCCGGAAUCACACUCUCAAAACCGGCUGAAACCUAGAUUGAAAAAUC
Molecule: long non-coding RNA, 209 nt
Filed under: Prunus persica (peach)
Lineage: Eukaryota; Viridiplantae; Streptophyta; Magnoliopsida; Rosales; Rosaceae
Description: long non-coding RNA (PPER_LNC003242)
Source: RNAcentral